This 348-nucleotide unclassified non-coding RNA is filed under the name soil metagenome. RNAcentral's name for it is "partial contains 5.8S ribosomal RNA, internal transcribed spacer 2, and large subunit ribosomal RNA". The stretch from base 1 to 120 matches the Rfam family "5.8S ribosomal RNA", at positions 35 to 154 of the family's 154-position model. The record is from RNAcentral.
GAUGAAGAACGUAGCGAAAUGCGAUAAGUAAUGUGAAUUGCAGAAUUCAGUGAAUCAUCGAGUCUUUGAACGCACAUUGCGCCCCCUGGUAUUCCGGGGGGCAUGCCUGUCCGAGCGUCAUUGCAGCCCUCAAGCACGGCUUGUGUGUUGGGCCCCCGCCCCCCGGCUUCGGGGGGCGGGCCCGAAAGGCAGCGGCGGCACCGCGUCCGGUCCUCGAGCGUAUGGGGCUUCGUCACCCGCUCUGUAGGCCCGGCCGGCGCCCGCCGGCGACCCCAAUCAAUCUUUCCAGGUUGACCUCGGAUCAGGUAGGGAUACCCGCUGAACUUAAGCAUAUCAAUAAGCGGAGGA